AGGUGCGAUCAUACCAGCACUAAUGCACCGGAUCCCAUCAGAACUCUACAGUUAAGGGUGCUCGGGCGAGAGUAGUACUAGGAUGGGUGAUCUACUGGAGAGUCCUCUUGUUGCACUUC
Molecule: non-coding RNA, 119 nt
Organism: Phaseolus vulgaris (common bean)
Lineage: Eukaryota; Viridiplantae; Streptophyta; Magnoliopsida; Fabales; Fabaceae
Source: Rfam